CCUACGGGAGGCAGCAGUAAGGAAUAUUGGUCAAUGGACGAAAGUCUGAACCAGCCAUGCCGCGUGAAGGAUGACGGCCCUCUGGGUUGUAAACUUCUUUUAUAUGGGACGAAAAAAGGGAAUUCUUUCUCACUUGACGGUACCAUAGGAAUAAGCACCGGCUAACUCCGUGCCAGCAGCCGCGGUAAUACGGAGGGUGCAAGCGUUAUCCGGAUUCACUGGGUUUAAAGGGUGCGUAGGUGGGUAGGUAAGUCAGUGGUGAAAUCUCCGAGCUUAACUCGGAAACUGCCAUUGAUACUAUGUAUCUUGAAUUUUUUGGAGGUGAGCGGAAUAUGUCAUGUAGCGGUGAAAUGCUUAGAUAUGACAUAGAACACCAAUUGCGAAGGCAGCUCACUACGAAAUUAUUGACACUGAGGCACGAAAGCGUGGGGAUCAAACAGGAUUAGAUACCCUGGUAGUCCACGCCCUAAACGAUGGAUACUCGACAUCAGCGAUACACUGUUGGUGUCUGAGCGAAAGCAUUAAGUAUCCCACCUGGGAAGUACGAACCGCAAGGUUGAAACUCAAAGGAAUUGACGG
This 579-nucleotide ribosomal RNA is filed under the name uncultured bacterium. RNAcentral describes it as "bacterial SSU rRNA". It matches the Rfam family "Bacterial small subunit ribosomal RNA", at positions 338 to 916 of the family's 1533-position model. The record is from RNAcentral.